UUAUGACGUACUUGUACUGAUUGAGAUUUUAACACGAAGUGAGUGGCGAACGGGUGAGUAACACGUGGGUAACCUGCCCAGAAGUAGGGGAUAACACCUGGAAACAGAUGCUAAUACCGUAUAACAGAGAAAACCGCAUGGUUUUCUUUUAAAAGAUGGCUCUGCUAUCACUUCUGGAUGGACCCGCGGCGUAUUAGCUAGUUGGUGAGGCAAAGGCUCACCAAGGCAGUGAUACGUAGCCGACCUGAGAGGGUAAUCGGCCACAUUGGGACUGAGACACGGCCCAGACUCCUACGGGAGGCAGCAGUAGGGAAUCUUCCACAAUGGACGCAAGUCUGAUGGAGCAACGCCGCGUGAGUGAAGAAGGGUUUCGGCUCGUAAAGCUCUGUUGUUAAAGAAGAACGUGGGUAAGAGUAACUGUUUACCCAGUGACGGUAUUUAACCAGAAAGCCACGGCUAACUACGUGCCAGCAGCCGCGGUAAUACGUAGGUGGCAAGCGUUAUCCGGAUUUAUUGGGCGUAAAGCGAGCGCAGGCGGUCUUUUAAGUCUAAUGUGAAAGCCUUCGGCUCAACCGAAGAAGUGCAUUGGAAACUGGGAGACUUGAGUGCAGAAGAGGACAGUGGAACUCCAUGUGUAGCGGUGAAAUGCGUAGAUAUAUGGAAGAACACCAGUGGCGAAGGCGGCUGUCUGGUCUGCAACUGACGCUGAGGCUCGAAAGCAUGGGUAGCGAACAGGAUUAGAUACCCUGGUAGUCCAUGCCGUAAACGAUGAUUACUAAGUGUUGGGAGGGUUUCCGCCCUUCAGUGCUGCAGCUAACGCAUUACGUAAUCCGCCUGGGGAGUACGACCGCAAGGUUGAACUUCAAAGAAUUGACGGGAGCCGCACAGCGGUGGAGCAUGUGGUUAAUUCGAACUACGCGAGAACUUACCAGUCUUGAAUCUCUGACAUCUAGAGAUUAGAGUUCCUUCGGGACGAAGGCAGGGGUGCAUGGUUCGUCAC
RNAcentral lists this ribosomal RNA (1000 nucleotides) under Pediococcus pentosaceus. RNAcentral describes it as "bacterial SSU rRNA". It matches the Rfam family "Bacterial small subunit ribosomal RNA", at positions 64 to 1058 of the family's 1533-position model. Lineage: Bacteria; Bacillati; Bacillota; Bacilli; Lactobacillales; Lactobacillaceae. The record is from RNAcentral.